GUUCCCUACGGGGGGCAGCAGUGAGGGAUAUUGGUCAAUGGGGGAAACCCUGAACCAGCAACGCCGCGUGAGGGAAGACGGUUUUCGGAUUGUAAACCUCUGUCCUCUGUGAAGAUAAUGACGGUAGCAGAGGAGGAAGCUCCGGCUAACUACGUGCCAGCAGCCGCGGUAAUACGUAGGGAGCGAGCGUUGUCCGGAUUUACUGGGUGUAAAGGGAGCGUAGACGGCAGCGCAAGCCUGGAGUGAAAGGAUGGGGCUCAACCCCAUGACUGCUCUGGGAACUGCGCAGCUAGAGUGCCGGAGGG
This 305-nucleotide ribosomal RNA is filed under the name uncultured bacterium. RNAcentral's name for it is "bacterial SSU rRNA". It matches the Rfam family "Bacterial small subunit ribosomal RNA", at positions 334 to 656 of the family's 1533-position model. The record is from RNAcentral.